UNCCACGUGUAGCAGUGAAAUGCGUAGAGAUGUGGAGGAAUACCGAUGGCGAAGGCAGCCUCCUGGGAUAACACUGACGUUCAUGCCCGAAAGCGUGGGUAGCAAACAGGAUUAGAUACCCUGGUAGUCCACGCCCUAAACGAUGUCGAUUAGCUGUUGGGCAGCAUGACUGCUUAGUAGCGAAGCUAACGCGUGAGAUCGACCGCCUGGGGAGUACGGUCGCAAGAUUAAAACUCAAAGGAAUUGACGGGGACCCGCACAAGCGGUGGAUGAUGUGGAUUAAUUCGAUGCAACGCGAAGAACCUUACCUGGUCUUGACAUGUGCGGAACCCUCCAGAGACGGAGGGGUGCCUUCGGGAGCCGUAACACAGGUGCUGCAUGGCUGUCGUCAGCUCGUGUCGUGGGAUGUUGGGUUAAGUCCCGCAACGAGCGCAACCCUUGUCGUAGUUGCCAUCAUUAAGUUGGGCACUCUAAUGAGACUGCCGGUGACAAGCCGGAGGAAGGUGGGGAUGACGUCAAGUCCUCAUGGCCCUUAUGACCAGGGCUUCACACGUCAUACAAUGGUCGGUACAGAGGGUAGCCAAGCCGCGAGGUGGAGCCAAUCUCACAAAACCGAUCGUAGUCCGGAUUGCACUCUGCAACUCGAGUGCAUGAAGUCGGAAUCGCUAGUAAUCGCAGGUCAGCAUACUGCGGUGAAUACGUUCCCGGGUCUUGUACACACCGCCCGUCACACCAUGGGAGUGGGGGAUACCAGAAGUAGGUAGGGU
Molecule: ribosomal RNA, 767 nt
Filed under: uncultured bacterium
Lineage: Bacteria
Description: bacterial SSU rRNA
Rfam family: Bacterial small subunit ribosomal RNA
Source: RNAcentral